AGUGAACGCUGGCGGUAGGCCUAACACAUGCAAGUCGAACGGCAGCACAGUAAGAGCUUGCUCUUACGGGUGGCGAGUGGCGGACGGGUGAGGAAUACAUCGGAAUCUACUUUUUCGUGGGGGAUAACGUAGGGAAACUUACGCUAAUACCGCAUACGACCUACGGGUGAAAGCAGGGGAUCUUCGGACCUUGCGCGAUUGAAUGAGCCGAUGUCGGAUUAGCUAGUUGGCGGGGUAAAGGCCCACCAAGGCGACGAUCCGUAGCUGGUCUGAGAGGAUGACCAGCCACACUGGAACUGAGACACGGUCCAGACUCCUACGGGAGGAAGCAGUGGGGAAUAUUGGACAAUGGGCGCAAGCCUGAUCCAGCCAUACCGCGUGGGUGAAGAAGGCCUUCGGGUUGUAAAGCCCUUUUGUUGGGAAAGAAAAGCAGCAGGUUAAUACCCCGCUGUUCUGACGGUACCCAAAGAAUAAGCACCGGCUAACUUCGUG
This 492-nucleotide ribosomal RNA is filed under the name uncultured bacterium. Its description in RNAcentral is "partial 16S ribosomal RNA". It matches the Rfam family "Bacterial small subunit ribosomal RNA", at positions 29 to 507 of the family's 1533-position model. The record is from RNAcentral.